Molecule: ribosomal RNA, 2921 nt
Filed under: Staphylococcus aureus M0258
Lineage: Bacteria; Bacillati; Bacillota; Bacilli; Caryophanales; Staphylococcaceae
Description: bacterial LSU rRNA
Rfam family: Bacterial large subunit ribosomal RNA
Source: RNAcentral
UUAAGUUAUUAAGGGCGCACGGUGGAUGCCUUGGCACUAGAAGCCGAUGAAGGACGUUACUAACGACGAUAUGCUUUGGGGAGCUGUAAGUAAGCUUUGAUCCAGAGAUUUCCGAAUGGGGAAACCCAGCAUGAGUUAUGUCAUGUUAUCGAUAUGUGAAUACAUAGCAUAUCAGAAGGCACACCCGGAGAACUGAAACAUCUUAGUACCCGGAGGAAGAGAAAGAAAAUUCGAUUCCCUUAGUAGCGGCGAGCGAAACGGGAAGAGCCCAAACCAACAAGCUUGCUUGUUGGGGUUGUAGGACACUCUAUACGGAGUUACAAAGGACGACAUUAGACGAAUCAUCUGGAAAGAUGAAUCAAAGAAGGUAAUAAUCCUGUAGUCGAAAAUGUUGUCUCUCUUGAGUGGAUCCUGAGUACGACGGAGCACGUGAAAUUCCGUCGGAAUCUGGGAGGACCAUCUCCUAAGGCUAAAUACUCUCUAGUGACCGAUAGUGAACCAGUACCGUGAGGGAAAGGUGAAAAGCACCCCGGAAGGGGAGUGAAAUAGAACCUGAAACCGUGUGCUUACAAGUAGUCAGAGCCCGUUAAUGGGUGAUGGCGUGCCUUUUGUAGAAUGAACCGGCGAGUUACGAUUUGAUGCAAGGUUAAGCAGUAAAUGUGGAGCCGUAGCGAAAGCGAGUCUGAAUAGGGCGUUUAGUAUUUGGUCGUAGACCCGAAACCAGGUGAUCUACCCUUGGUCAGGUUGAAGUUCAGGUAACACUGAAUGGAGGACCGAACCGACUUACGUUGAAAAGUGAGCGGAUGAACUGAGGGUAGCGGAGAAAUUCCAAUCGAACCUGGAGAUAGCUGGUUCUCUCCGAAAUAGCUUUAGGGCUAGCCUCAAGUGAUGAUUAUUGGAGGUAGAGCACUGUUUGGACGAGGGGCCCCUCUCGGGUUACCGAAUUCAGACAAACUCCGAAUGCCAAUUAAUUUAACUUGGGAGUCAGAACAUGGGUGAUAAGGUCCGUGUUCGAAAGGGAAACAGCCCAGACCACCAGCUAAGGUCCCAAAAUAUAUGUUAAGUGGAAAAGGAUGUGGCGUUGCCCAGACAACUAGGAUGUUGGCUUAGAAGCAGCCAUCAUUUAAAGAGUGCGUAAUAGCUCACUAGUCGAGUGACACUGCGCCGAAAAUGUACCGGGGCUAAACAUAUUACCGAAGCUGUGGAUUGUCCUUUGGACAAUGGUAGGAGAGCGUUCUAAGGGCGUUGAAGCAUGAUCGUAAGGACAUGUGGAGCGCUUAGAAGUGAGAAUGCCGGUGUGAGUAGCGAAAGACGGGUGAGAAUCCCGUCCACCGAUUGACUAAGGUUUCCAGAGGAAGGCUCGUCCGCUCUGGGUUAGUCGGGUCCUAAGCUGAGGCCGACAGGCGUAGGCGAUGGAUAACAGGUUGAUAUUCCUGUACCACCUAUAAUCGUUUUAAUCGAUGGGGGGACGCAGUAGGAUAGGCGAAGCGUGCGAUUGGAUUGCACGUCUAAGCAGUAAGGCUGAGUAUUAGGCAAAUCCGGUACUCGUUAAGGCUGAGCUGUGAUGGGGAGAAGACAUUGAGUCUUCGAGUCGUUGAUUUCACACUGCCGAGAAAAGCCUCUAGAUAGAAAAUAGGUGCCCGUACCGCAAACCGACACAGGUAGUCAAGAUGAGAAUUCUAAGGUGAGCGAGCGAACUCUCGUUAAGGAACUCGGCAAAAUGACCCCGUAACUUCGGGAGAAGGGGUGCUCUUUAGGGUUAACGCCCAGAAGAGCCGCAGUGAAUAGGCCCAAGCGACUGUUUAUCAAAAACACAGGUCUCUGCUAAACCGUAAGGUGAUGUAUAGGGGCUGACGCCUGCCCGGUGCUGGAAGGUUAAGAGGAGUGGUUAGCUUCUGCGAAGCUACGAAUCGAAGCCCCAGUAAACGGCGGCCGUAACUAUAACGGUCCUAAGGUAGCGAAAUUCCUUGUCGGGUAAGUUCCGACCCGCACGAAAGGCGUAACGAUUUGGGCACUGUCUCAACGAGAGACUCGGUGAAAUCAUAGUACCUGUGAAGAUGCAGGUUACCCGCGACAGGACGGAAAGACCCCGUGGAGCUUUACUGUAGCCUGAUAUUGAAAUUCGGCACAGCUUGUACAGGAUAGGUAGGAGCCUUUGAAACGUGAGCGCUAGCUUACGUGGAGGAGCUGGUGGGAUACUACCCUAGCUGUGUUGGCUUUCUAACCCGCACCACUUAUCGUGGUGGGAGACAGUGUCAGGCGGGCAGUUUGACUGGGGCGGUCGCCUCCUAAAAGGUAACGGAGGCGCUCAAAGGUUCCCUCAGAAUGGUUGGAAAUCAUUCAUAGAGUGUAAAGGCAUAAGGGAGCUUGACUGCGAGACCUACAAGUCGAGCAGGGUCGAAAGACGGACUUAGUGAUCCGGUGGUUCCGCAUGGAAGGGCCAUCGCUCAACGGAUAAAAGCUACCCCGGGGAUAACAGGCUUAUCUCCCCCAAGAGUUCACAUCGACGGGGAGGUUUGGCACCUCGAUGUCGGCUCAUCGCAUCCUGGGGCUGUAGUCGGUCCCAAGGGUUGGGCUGUUCGCCCAUUAAAGCGGUACGCGAGCUGGGUUCAGAACGUCGUGAGACAGUUCGGUCCCUAUCCGUCGUGGGCGUAGGAAAUUUGAGAGGAGCUGUCCUUAGUACGAGAGGACCGGGAUGGACAUACCUCUGGUGUACCAGUUGUCGUGCCAACGGCAUAGCUGGGUAGCUAUGUGUGGACGGGAUAAGUGCUGAAAGCAUCUAAGCAUGAAGCCCCCCUCAAGAUGAGAUUUCCCAACUUCGGUUAUAAGAUCCCUCAAAGAUGAUGAGGUUAAUAGGUUCGAGGUGGAAGCAUGGUGACAUGUGGAGCUGACGAAUACUAAUCGAUCGAAGACUUAAUCAA